AUUGAACGCUGGCGGCAGGCUUAACACAUGCAAGUCGAGCGGGGUGAUGGUGCUUGCACUAUCACUUAGCGGCGGACGGGUGAGUAAUGCUUAGGAAUCUGCCGAUUAGUGGGGGACAACAUCUCGACAGGGAUGCUAAUACCGCAUACGCCAUACGGGAGAAAGCAGGGGAUCACUGGUGACCUUGCGCUAAUAGAUGAGCCUAAGUCGGAUUAGCUAGUUGGUGGGGUAAAGGCCUACCAAGGCGACGAUCUCGAGCGGGUCUGAGAGGAUGAUCCGCCACACUGGGACUGGGACACGGCCCAGACUCCUACGGGAGGCAGCAGUGGGGAAUAUUGGACAAUGGGGGGAACCCUGAUCCAGCCAUGCCGCGUGUGUGAAGAAGGCCUUAUGGUUGUAAAGCACUUUAAGCGAGGAGGAGGCUCUUUUGGUUAAUACCCAAGAUGAGUGGACGUUACUCGCAGAAUAAGCACCGGCUAACUCUGUGCCAGCAGCCGCGGUAA
Molecule: ribosomal RNA, 503 nt
Filed under: uncultured bacterium
Lineage: Bacteria
Description: partial 16S ribosomal RNA
Rfam family: Bacterial small subunit ribosomal RNA
Source: RNAcentral